GUGCAGCAGGCGAGAAACUCCGCAAUGCUCGAAAGAGUGACGGGGAGUUCCAAGUGCCUACGCUUAGCGUAGGCUGUUCAGAUGCCUAAAAAGACAUCUGGAGUAAGGGCUGGGUAAGACGGUGCCAUCUGCAGUGGUAAUGAAAACUUGCUACUUGCAAGGCAUAAGCCGCCGCGGUAAUACCCGCAGCCCGAGUGGUAGUCGCUUUUAUUGGGCCUAAAGCGUCCGUAGCCGGUCUGGUAAAUGCCUGGGGUAAAUCGUGGGGCCUAACCUCACGAAUUCCGGGUAGACUGCCAGACUUGGGACCGGUUGAGGGAGAGGGUACUCCAGGGGUAGGGGUGAAAUCCUGUAAUCCUUGGAGGACCACCGGUGGCGAAAGCGCUCUCCUAGGACGGUCGACGGUGAGGGACGAAAGCCAGGGGAGCAAACCGGAUUAGAUACCCGGGUAGU
RNAcentral lists this ribosomal RNA (450 nucleotides) under uncultured microorganism. Its description in RNAcentral is "bacterial SSU rRNA". It matches the Rfam family "Archaeal small subunit ribosomal RNA", at positions 330 to 745 of the family's 1478-position model. The record is from RNAcentral.